This 461-nucleotide ribosomal RNA is filed under the name uncultured bacterium. RNAcentral's name for it is "partial 16S ribosomal RNA". It matches the Rfam family "Bacterial small subunit ribosomal RNA", at positions 338 to 795 of the family's 1533-position model. The record is from RNAcentral.
CCUACGGGCGGCAGCAGUGAGGAAUAUUGGUCAAUGGGCGCUAGCCUGAACCAGCCAAGUCGCGUGAGGGAAGACGGUCCUAUGGAUUGUAAACCUCUUUUGUCGGGGAGCAAAAAGGCCUCGUGAGGCCACAAGUGAGAGUACCCGAAGAAAAAGCAUCGGCUAACUCCGUGCCAGCAGCCGCGGUAAUACGGAGGGUGCGAGCGUUAAUCGGAAUUACUGGGCGUAAAGCGCUCGUAGGCGGUAUGUCAAGUCAAGGGUGAAAUCCCCGCGCUCAACGUGGGAACUGCCUUUGAAACUGGCAAACUGGAGUGUGUGAGAGGAUAGUGGAAUUCCAGGUGUAGGAGUGAAAUCCGUAGAUAUCUGGAGGAACAUCAGUGGCGAAGGCGACUAUCUGGCACAUAACUGACGCUGAGGAGCGAAAGCGUGGGUAGCAAACAGGAUUAGAUACCCUUGUAGUC